CCCUUAGAGUUUGAUCCUGGCUCAGGAUGAACGCUAGCUACAGGCUUAACACAUGCAAGUCGAGGGGAAACGACAUCGAAAGCUUGCUUUUGAUGGGCGUCGACCGGCGCACGGGUGAGUAACGCGUAUCCAACCUGCCCACCACUUGGGGAUAACCUUGCGAAAGUAAGACUAAUACCCAAUGACGUCUCUAGAAGACAUCUGAAGGAGAUUAAAGAUUUAUCGGUGAUGGAUGGGGAUGCGUCUGAUUAGCUUGUUGGCGGGGUAACGGCCCACCAAGGCGACGAUCAGUAGGGGUUCUGAGAGGAAGGUCCCCCACAUUGGAACUGAGACACGGUCCAAACUCCUACGGGAGGCAGCAGUGAGGAAUAUUGGUCAAUGGACGAGAGUCUGAACCAGCCAAGUAGCGUGCAGGAUGACGGCCCUAUGGGUUGUAAACUGCUUUUAUAAGGGAAUAAAGUGAGUCUCGUGAGACUUUUUGCAUGUACCUUAUGAAUAAGGACCGGCUAAUUCCGUGCCAGCAGCCGCGGUAAUACGGAAGGUCCGGGCGUUAUCCGGAUUUAUUGGGUUUAAAGGGAGCGUAGGCCGGAGAUUAAGCGUGUUGUGAAAUGUAGACGCUCAACGUCUGCACUGCAGCGCGAACUGGUUUCCUUGAGUACGCACAAAGUGGGCGGAAUUCGUGGUGUAGCGGUGAAAUGCUUAGAUAUCACGAAGAACUCCGAUUGCGAAGGCAGCUCACUGGAGCGCAACUGACGCUGAAGCUCGAAAGUGCGGGUAUCGAACAGGAUUAGAUACCCUGGUAGUCCGCACGGUAAACGAUGGAUGCCCGCUGUUGGUCUGAAUAGGUCAGCGGCCAAGCGAAAGCAUUAAGCAUCCCACCUGGGGAGUACGCCGGCAACGGUGAAACUCAAAGGAAUUGACGG
RNAcentral lists this ribosomal RNA (923 nucleotides) under uncultured bacterium. RNAcentral describes it as "bacterial SSU rRNA". It matches the Rfam family "Bacterial small subunit ribosomal RNA", at positions 1 to 916 of the family's 1533-position model. The record is from RNAcentral.